Molecule: ribosomal RNA, 405 nt
Filed under: uncultured bacterium
Lineage: Bacteria
Description: partial 16S ribosomal RNA
Rfam family: Bacterial small subunit ribosomal RNA
Source: RNAcentral
AUUGAACGCUGGCGGCAGGCCUAACACAUGCAAGUCGAGUAGCGGCGGACGGGUGAGUAAUGUCUGGGAAACUGCCUGAUGGAGGGGGAUAACUACUGGAAACGGUAGCUAAUACCGCAUACCCUCAGAUGUUCCCAGAUGGGGUUAGCUGGUAGGGGGGGUAACGGCUCCCCUAGGCGACGAUCCCUAGCUGGUCUGAGAGGAUGACCAGCCACACGGGAACUGGAACACGGUCCAGACUCCUACGGGAGGCAGCAGUGGGGAAUAUUGCACAAUGGGCGCAAGCCUGAUGCAGCCAUGCCGCGUGUGUGAAGAAGGCCUUCGGGUUGUAAAGCACUUUCAGCGGGGAGGCGUUACCCGCAGAAGAAGCACCGGCUAACUCCGUGCCAGCAGCCGCGGUAAUAC